ACACCGACUCCAGGAUUGUCUCCCAAAUCCCACUUCCGCCACUUCUUCCUCCCGAGACCGGCCAAGAGCCCCUGGUUGUCCGCCCUUCUUGGGCUCCUAGGGAGAACGUGGUCCGGGAACUGGCGGUCACUGGGAGGCAGCACAAGAGGUUUUCGCGCUCCUCUGCUGGUGCAACUAUCGCGACCAUCACCCUGACAGCGGGAGGAAGGGUGCCGCAGGCAAAGGGUGGCGCACCUGCAGAUUCGGUUUCUUGCUCGGGGCUCUCGCGAGAGCCGGCGCUGGAGUGUGGACCGCGCAUGCCGGUGACGCGUGGUGGAGACACGUCGCCGGCGCCUCUCUCCCUAGGCCUUCCAGGGGGCUGGAGUGCAGCGGCGCUAUCUCGUCUCACUGCAACCUCCACCUCCCAGGUACAAGCGAUUCUCCUGCCUCAGCCUUCGGAGUAGCUGGGAUUACAGGCACCCACCACCACGCCCAGCCCAGAGCCGGCCUGGUUCAAGCAUUUCUCAGAAAUUUCCAGCGCACGUUCCCCAUCUGAAGGCUCACACCUGCGGGAGCAGAACACACUCCACACGGGUGCCUCCAGCACACGGAACUUGCGCUCCCGGAAGCUUACGACAUGGUCAUUGUUGAAGUGUUCCCCUCGAAGUAGCUGGGCGUGGUGGCGCGCUCGUGGAGUCCCAGCUACUCGAGAGGCUGAGGUAGGAGCAUCGCUUGAACCCAGGAGGAGGGAGUUGCAGUGAGACGAGAUCGCGCCACUGCACUCCAGCCUGGUAACAAAGCGAGACUCCGUCUCAAAAAAAAAAAAAAAAAAAAUCCUUAAGGACAGCCCAGAGGCUGGCGACACCUUCACGGGCCCCUCCAUGGAUGCGCCUCUGAGGUCACCGCUCCGGAAGGUCCCAGACUGGCGUGGAAACCUAUUACUAAGUGGGGCGCGUGGACACCGGCAGGUCCCGCUCUAAAGGAGUCCCGCGGAUGCUUGGGCCUCAGUUCCUCUUUCCUGCCCAAGUAUUCCCCCCGCUCUGACGAAACAGGCAACUUCCAGACUGUGGCGUUAGCUCAGCGACUGCGCUGAGCCCCGGGAAAGAACCUGGUCCCGACGGCCAGCUGACCCAGGUUAGUUGCAGAGAUGCUGACUACCCCGCUUCGCUGGCUGCUGCGAGGUCACAUGAGGCCCUCGGUGUGACGUGAGGUCCUCGGGCGCAGCAGGGAGCGUGGCAGCCAACUCUUUCUGCGCGUGCGCGAGCGCGAGCAUCUGCUGUUGUUUAGGCAGAACGGUCGCAAAUCGCACCCUCAGUACUGGCCCGCUUUGCUCUUCUACCUUGCCCUCCUAGUCCGGAUCCAAGAUCCCAAGUAAUCUUCCUACCCCUGCACCGGGGCCGGGACCAGGCAGCCAAGAGCGGCGGAGACAGACUGCUGGGACCGCGACAUCUCCUCUCCUGUUCGCUGCCAUAUGCCCGCGUCGUGUUGAGCGGCCUGCGGACACUGACAGCCUGCCCGGUCCGCUGAGUGUUUGAUCCCCAUCCUCGCAACGCUCUGGAGUGGGCGGUGCAGCCAGUCUUCUUUCAUUCUUAUGAGGCAAGAGAGAGACCCUCUCAUAUUGUUUUAUACUCUGUACCUGUUUAAAAAACAAAACGAAACAAAACAAAACAAGGAAGUGAAACCAAAGACAGGCAGCCCGGCGCCAGGCCCCAAACCGGACCUGGACCUGCCUGGCCUAAACCUAGUAGUUAAAAAUCAACUCAUGACUUAAAAACCGAUGUUGUCCUUAGAUUCCCCGCGUCGUAUAGAAGAACAUUGUGGGCCAGGGGCGGUGGCUCACGCCUGUAAUCCCAGCACUUUGGGAGGCCAAGGCGAGCGGAUCACCUGAGGUCAGGAGUUCAAAACCAGCCUGACCAACAUGGAGAAACCCUGUCUUUACUAAAAAUACAAAAUUGGCCAGGCGUGGUGGCACAUGCCUAUAAUCCCAGCUACUAGGGAGGCUGAGGCAAGAGAAUCGCUUGAACCUGGGAGGCAGAGGUUUCGGUGAGCCGAGAUCAUGCCAUUGCACUUCACCCUGGGCAAGAAGAGUGAAACUCCAUCUCAAAAAAAAAAAAAAAAAAAAAA
RNAcentral lists this long non-coding RNA (2103 nucleotides) under Macaca fascicularis (crab-eating macaque). RNAcentral's name for it is "lncRNA (ENSMFAG00000052588.1)". The record is from RNAcentral. Lineage: Eukaryota; Metazoa; Chordata; Mammalia; Primates; Cercopithecidae.